UACGGGGGGGGCAAGCGUUGUUCGGAAUUACUGGGCGUAAAGGGCGCGUAGGCGGCCUGCUAAGUCGGAUGUGAAAUCCCUCGGCUCAACCGAGGAACUGCAUCCGAUACUGGCCGGGCUUAAAUCCGGGAGAGGGAUGUGGAAUUCCAGGUGUAGCGGUGAAAUGCGUAGAUAUCUGGAGGAACACCGGUGGCGAAGGCGGCAUCCUGGACCGGUAUUGACGCUGAGGCGCGAAAGCUAGGGGAGCAAACGGG
Molecule: ribosomal RNA, 254 nt
Filed under: uncultured bacterium
Lineage: Bacteria
Description: partial 16S ribosomal RNA
Rfam family: Bacterial small subunit ribosomal RNA
Source: RNAcentral